This 465-nucleotide ribosomal RNA is filed under the name uncultured bacterium. RNAcentral's name for it is "partial 16S ribosomal RNA". It matches the Rfam family "Bacterial small subunit ribosomal RNA", at positions 28 to 507 of the family's 1533-position model. The record is from RNAcentral.
GACGAACGCUGGCGGCGUGCCUAACACAUGCAAGUCGAACGGAAAGGCCCUGCUUGCCGGGUACUCGAGUGGCGAACGGGUGAGUAACACGUGGGUGAUCUGCCCUGCACUUCGGGAUAAGCCUGGGAAACUGGGUCUAAUACCGGAUAGGAGCCAUUUUUAGUGUGAUGGUUGGAAAGUUUUUUCGGUGUAGGAUGAGCUCGCGGCCUAUCAGCUUGUUGGUGGGGUAAUGGCCUACCAAGGCGGCGACGGGUAGCCGGCCUGAGAGGGUGGACGGCCACAUUGGGACUGAGAUACGGCCCAGACUCCUACGGGAGGCAGCAGUGGGGAAUAUUGCACAAUGGGCGCAAGCCUGAUGCAGCGACGCCGCGUGGGGGAUGACGGCCUUCGGGUUGUAAACUCCCUUCGCUAGGGACGAAGCUUUUUGUGACGGUACCUAGAUAAGAAGCACCGGCUAACUACGUG